AUUUUUAAUUAAACGUAAAUUAGUAAAUAAUGUAAUUUUACAUUAUAAUGAGAAUUAAAGUAUUAGUAAUUUAUUUUUGUUACUAAAAUUAAAUUCUGUUUGUUCCUGCAUAAAUCUUUUUAGUACUAUACUGCUUUGGAAUGAAUUUUUUUGGGGGACAACAGCAGGAUUAGCGCCAUCUUCUAGAUGCCAUCAGGUAGGUGCGCUGGCGUAGGUGUUUGUUGUAGCAUUAUUAUCCUAUUCCCCCCUUUUAAAAAUGUUUGUAAGACGCCUGAAAUUUGUAUAACUUAGUUAUAUAAGUAGUUGAAUAAGAAUUGGUGAGACUUGGAAAAUAGAAGAGGACAGAGAAGAUGGAAGAGGAUUGCUUUGAAAUAGAAGGAAAGGAGAUAGAAGAUGUUUGAGGAAAGGAGGAGGACUUUGUUCGCUGUAACGGAAGUUUUUUAAAUGAAAUUUGGAGCAACUGUAUUAAGAUGAUAUUGGUAUCUUGGACAUCAAGUUUCUUUUAUUUAUGUAUUAUACAAGAAUAUCUAUUGGUGAAAAUGUAGAAUGGCAGCUGUUAUAACAACUUGGAUGAAUUAUUAGAAACACCAAAGAAGUUUUGACAUAAUUUAAACUGGGAAAAGGCUCACAACUGACCAAUUUAUUCUACAGUUGAUACAGGACAUUAAAUUGACUUCAACAACGCAGAUGUCUUUCAAAAAUGUUGCUGUUACAAAUCUGCAAAUGAGUUACUACUGUACAUAAGUUGGAGGAAUGCCAAGGAUUUUUUUGAAUAAAAUGAUACUGAAAAUCUUACCCACAAAUGACAAUUUUAAGAUACAAUCAAUAGUAUUUGGAUUGAUUGGCCUUCAUUACCGUUGCGCUAUGAAAAUGGAUAUUGCUAUUUUACAUAGGAUAUUGCUAUUAGAAAUCAAUAAGACAUACUAGCUGCAAAUAAUAUGUAUGGUGGUCAUUAAAGAGAUUUAAAUGGAAUGAGAGGAGAGAAACUUUUGCAGAAGAAAUCAAGAAAAACUAUUUUGAACUGCUGUUACUUAAUAUAGCUGUUAGAGGGGAUCCAGUUCUUCAUCAAUGGUAUACCCUGGGACAAUUGCUGUUAAAAAUCCACAAGCCGUAUUAUCUGCAAAUAUUAUGGUGGACAUCAAAAAGCUUUAAUUGGAAUGAAACUUGCAGGAAAAGUGGUCGCAGUCCUUUAUCAAUGAUAUCUCCGCAUUUUUUUAACAAUGGAUAUCAUCAGUUGCUCCUACUUCUCACUUUCCUCUUUCACUCAACAUAAAGCAGACUCAAUACUCCUCAAUGCCUCACCAAGGUUCGUUAGCUUCAUUAAUAGUGUUAUUGUUUCAAUAAA
Sitophilus oryzae (rice weevil) is the source of this 1345-nucleotide long non-coding RNA. RefSeq lists it as uncharacterized. Lineage: Eukaryota; Metazoa; Arthropoda; Insecta; Coleoptera; Curculionidae. The record is from RefSeq and is a predicted model, not a curated record. The transcript has 7 exons.